CCAAAACAUAAGAAACAAUGCGACAUAAACAAGGUCGAUCGAACUAAGCUUAAAUCUAAUCAUUUCAUGGGAUCAAAAGCAUUUGUAGCAGCUCGUGCUGAACUUGGUGAAAAUGAACCUGAAAAAGUAGAGCCUGACAGAAUCGAGUUCUACAAGCAUACUCAUUACAAUAGUAAGAAAGGAUGGUCAUCUUUAGAGGCUGAGACUCACUAUGUAAGGAUGGUUAUCCAACGCGUUUGUUCGAUUAAUGUUCUUCUGAAGUUGUGUCUUCUCCUU
This is a long non-coding RNA of Solanum tuberosum (potato), 276 nucleotides long. RefSeq lists it as uncharacterized. The record is from RefSeq and is a predicted model, not a curated record. The transcript is spliced from 3 exons. NCBI's taxonomy places the organism in Eukaryota, Viridiplantae, Streptophyta, Magnoliopsida, Solanales, Solanaceae.